AACAUCAAGUCUUUUCAUCUAUGAGAACUUUGAUUCCACUGUUGUAGUAUUUGAUCUCUUGUUGCCUCCCUGUCUAUUCCUCAUCCUUUGGCUGGGACACUCCUCUGAGCAGAGGGGACCAGAGUCAUGGGAGCAGUGAUGGCCUGUAUCCUUGUCCUGAGCCUGACUUGAAAGGCAGUGCCUCUAGUUUCCCCACUCCACACAAUGUUUGUUGGUUAAUGACAGUGUGGUAUAAUGUAUUUAAUCUUCAAGGUAAUACCAUUGUAAUAGGCUGUGGAAAUUCAUUGAGGUUAUCUUUGUGGCCUAAUAAAUGCUCCAUUUUUAAAUGUCCCAUAGAUGUUUAAAAAUAAUUUCUAUGCUCUGUUAGGAAAUUUAUUUUUUAUGUAUCUAUUUGGUCAAGCUUUUCAGUUGUGUAUUCAAAUUCUCAUUUGUUUCAUAUGUUGUAUUAUUGGUCAGUUUCUAAAAUUGUGUUAAUGGUUCCUGUAAUCAUUGUGGAUUUGUCCACUUCCCCUUGUAUUUAUAACAGCUUUUGUUGUAUUUCAACCUGUCGGUAAGGGAAUAAAAUUCAUGGCUCAUACA
RNAcentral lists this long non-coding RNA (579 nucleotides) under Homo sapiens (human). Its description in RNAcentral is "HSALNT0324740". Lineage: Eukaryota; Metazoa; Chordata; Mammalia; Primates; Hominidae. The record is from RNAcentral.